This 497-nucleotide ribosomal RNA is filed under the name uncultured bacterium. Its description in RNAcentral is "partial 16S ribosomal RNA". It matches the Rfam family "Bacterial small subunit ribosomal RNA", at positions 28 to 507 of the family's 1533-position model. The record is from RNAcentral.
GAUGAACGCUGGCGGCGUGCCUAAUACAUGCAAGUAGAACGCUGAAGGAAGGAGCUUGCUCUUUCCGGAUGAGUUGCGAACGGGUGAGUAACGCGUAGGUAACCUGCCUGGUAGCGGGGGAUAACUAUUGGAAACGAUAGCUAAUACCGCAUAACAGUAGAUGUUGCAUGAUAUCUACUUAAAAGGUGCAAUUGCACCACUACCAGAUGGACCUGCGUUGUAUUAGCUAGUUGGUGAGGUAACGGCUCACCAAGGCGACGAUACAUAGCCGACCUGAGAGGGUGAUCGGCCACACUGGGACUGGGACACGGCCCAGAGUCCUACGGGAGGCAGCAGUAGGGAAUCGUCGGCAAGGGACGGAAGUCUGACCGAGCAACGCCGCGUGAGUGAAGAAGGAUUUCGGAUCGUAAAGCUCUGUUGUAAGAGAAGAACGAGUGUGAGAGUGGAAAGUUCACACUGUGACGGUAUCUGACCAGAAAGGGACGGCUAACUACGUG